AUAAGUGCACAUUUUUAACAACACACAAAGCUUCAACUGCAAAAUUAUCCAUGGUUUCCCAAACUGUUGUUACUUCUAUGCUGUUAUCAGUUCCUUAUUGUGAAAUGCAUUCUCCUACUGCUCUUGACAAAUUUCUUUUCAUGUUUUCAGACUCAGCCUGCUUUGUGAAGGCCUCCUUGAUUAUGGCUAUCUUUUCCCAGAUAAAUAAGUAUCUUCCCCUGGAGCUACCACAGUAUUUUAUUGAUUUCUGCAGUCAAUUUUUCCUCCUCAAGUGCAAAUCAUUUCUUUAGACAUCUACUAUCUUUUCUUUUAGACUGCAGAGGACAAGCUCUUCUUGGUUGUCAUUGUUGUUUUCGCUUUGUUUCAUUUUUUGGCUGUUCCCACAGCAUGUGGAAGUUCAGGUCAAAUCUGAGCCACAGCUGAGACCUGCCUAUCCAGCAAGCCCAGAUCCUUUAACCCACUGAGGGCCAAGAAUUGAACACACAGCUCCAAAGACAUCCAAACUGCUGCAGUUGGAUGGUUACCCCAUUGGACCAUAGUGGGAACUCCAGGACAAGUUUUUUAAAUCAUCUUUGUAUAAACAGUCUUUAUUUCUUUUACUCAAUAAUUGCCUAAUGAGUUCCUGCUCAGUACUAGGCACUGAAGUUUCAGAAGCAUUUAAAGGAGUUCCCUGGUGGACCAGUGGUUAAGGACACAACAUAGUCACUGCUGUGGAGCAGGUUUGAUCUGUGGCCCCAGAACUUUCACAUUUCAUGAAAGAAGAAGAAUAUAGAUAAGGGGUGUCAGGGAUGGCUUUCUAGAGAUAAUGCCUGAGGUCAGUCAGCAGUGAGGUCAGUCAGAUUCAAAGGAACAGAGGUCAGGAAAGAGAGAGGGCAGGCAAGGCUGUUCUGAGGCAGGAAGAGAAGCAUACAGUUGGGUAAAACAAGGCCUCAGGAGCUGUUCAGAUGACUGGAGCAAAGGACAGCAAGAAGAGCCUUGAGAUAGAGUCAGGCCAAAGUCAGAUUAUGAAUGCCUCAUAUAUGAUUUUAAGAUGCCUGGACAUUCAUAUGCUUUCUCGAGUGGUUCAGGGUCCUACAUGCCCUUGAGACAGAUCACUCUUAGUGUGCUGGGAGGGAUGCAUUUGAAAGGCAUACAAAUAAAUGGAGGGACAUGAGUCUGAAGGCUUUAAUAAGCAAAAAAGCUGUUCCAGGCUUCAACUGAGGAGAUGUUUCCAGAAAUACUUAGGAUCUAAGACAAUCGGGGCCCUGCAUAGGAUCAAUCAUUAUUAAUGAACAAAGGCAUAAAUCCUGGGUCCUUGGAGAACAAGGCCCUGCUUAAUAUUUUAUGAAUGGUAACAACUGAGAAGGGGAAUUAUCUACAGGAGUGGCUUGAAGUUAUUCCUAUUUAUUUUGCAGUUUUCCUGUUUCACAUCUUCCCAUGUUGAGGGUGAGGGAGUGGGAGGGACUGGGAGUUUGGGUUCGUACAUGCACAUAACUGCCUUUAGAAUGGAUAGGCCAUGGGGUCCGCCUGGACAGCACAGGGAACUACAUGCAAUCAUGUGUCACAGAACAUGACAGACGAUGGUAUGUGAAGGAGAAUGCCUAUGUGUGCAUGGCUGGGUCCUUUUGCUGUACUUGACAGAACACUGUAAGUCAACU
RNAcentral lists this long non-coding RNA (1637 nucleotides) under Sus scrofa (pig). Its description in RNAcentral is "lncRNA (ENSSSCG00015055755.1)". Lineage: Eukaryota; Metazoa; Chordata; Mammalia; Artiodactyla; Suidae. The record is from RNAcentral.